GCACCGAAAAAUUCAGAUGAUUCAAAAAAGGAAGGUGACGUCAGCUCAGACGAUGAGCCGCUCAUAAAAACUGCCAAGACGUCCUCCGAAGCUGCACC
Non-coding RNA from Plectropomus leopardus (leopard coralgrouper), 98 nucleotides. NCBI's taxonomy places the organism in Eukaryota, Metazoa, Chordata, Actinopteri, Perciformes, Serranidae. The record is from RefSeq and is a predicted model, not a curated record.